UACGGAGGGUGCAAGCGUUAAUCGGAAUUACUGGGCGUAAAGCGCACGCAGGCGGUCUGUCAAGUCGGAUGUGAAAUCCCCGGGCUCAACCUGGGAACUGCAUCCGAAACUGGCAGGCUAGAGUCUUGUAGAGGGGGGUAGAAUUCCAGGUGUAGCGGUGAAAUGCGUAGAUAUCGGAAGGAACACCAGUGGCGAAGGCGGCUCUCUGGAUCCUAACUGACGCUCAUGAGCGAAAGCGUGGGGAGCAAACAGG
Molecule: unclassified non-coding RNA, 253 nt
Filed under: uncultured Enterobacteriaceae bacterium
Lineage: Bacteria; Pseudomonadati; Pseudomonadota; Gammaproteobacteria; Enterobacterales; Enterobacteriaceae
Description: contains 16S-23S intergenic spacer region
Rfam family: Bacterial small subunit ribosomal RNA
Source: RNAcentral